AGUCACCUCUGUGCUGGAACACUUUACCACAAUCCAGUCUAGUUCCCAGUGAAGUCAGUGGGCCCAUGAUCAAGCACUACAUGUAUCUUCCAAUCCUACUGGGAACAAGGAACCUAUAGUACUAUUAGAACACUACUCAGUGUUUUAUUUGGGGCUCUUUUAUUAUCCUGGAAAAGAAUGUGAAAAUAUUUUAAGAAAUCAGCUUAAAUGAUAUUGCCCACUGUGACGGGGUGAGGCAACCCCGCCACUACACACAACAAGAGGGACAGGACACCGGAGAGGCGUGUGCCAGCACUGCAUGGGCAGCAGCGAUGCAGGCGCCAACAAGCGCUUACGGGGAGGGGGCUGA
This is a non-coding RNA of Pelodiscus sinensis (Chinese soft-shelled turtle), 349 nucleotides long. The record is from RefSeq and is a predicted model, not a curated record. Lineage: Eukaryota; Metazoa; Chordata; Testudines; Trionychidae.